Molecule: long non-coding RNA, 1543 nt
Organism: Oryzias latipes (Japanese medaka)
Lineage: Eukaryota; Metazoa; Chordata; Actinopteri; Beloniformes; Adrianichthyidae
Source: RefSeq, a predicted model, not a curated record
GCUGAACACAACACAAGACAACAGGAAGACUGCAGCCAGAGGCAGCUGGUUCUGUUUUUAUGAGCCAUGAACGACUUCGUUUUUAGUUGGUAUGGAUACCAAACAGAAACUCUGAGCCAUGUUGCUGCCGGGGCACCUCUGCUCUGGGCUGGUUUGAGGAGGACUGUGACGGUGCUGUCUGUCUGGUUCAGAGAGGUCUCCUGGUCAUAAGCAGGCAUGGAGGGUGCUGUGGUGAAUAGGCAGCUUUUGUCAGAAUCCAUUCAUGCUCAUCGUCCUCUAAGAAACUAUGUCUGCUUGGAAAUCAGAUGAUCAGAUUUAUGUAUUGCUAUUCUAGGAAAAAUAUUUUGUCUUGAGAGUUGCAUUCCUUAUUCUAAAACAUGCUUCGUUUGACUUCUCCGACCUGAAAUCUUGGUGGUGAACUGGGUAAUGACGGGAGGGCCGUAGCCCUUGGCUGUGCUGGCACGCAGGGUGAAGGAGUAAGUGGAGCCUGGGUACAGGCCUGUGAACACGUGGGUGGUUUCGUUGCUCAUCUUCACUACUUUCCCACUCUGGUUGGAGAGGUCCAGUUCAGGGUCAAAGGAGCUCACCGCCUUGUAAAAGAUCUAGCACAAAGAGAAGAUGGACAGAAUCUUAUGGUAUUUGCUUGAGCUUGAUAAAAAUGUGUUUUCAUGGAACAAAGAUUUGCCAUCAGAAACAUCCAGAAGCACCAACAGAUAAAGUCUAUUAUAUUUACCAGGUUGAUGCAUGUUAUUACACAAACUCAAUAAUAUACUAAUAUGGAUGUAUAACUGCUGAGGGUAUUCUUUUGUGCAUUAUUCUUGCUUUGAUUGCUUGAAAUAAACCAUUUUAAAUCAAAUCAAAAAACAAAAAGAUGGAUUAUUUCUACUGUCCUAAACUCUAAACUUAACUGCGUAAUUAAGACCUCCACAAAUAGAUUGAUGUCAUUUGUUUUUCAUUGAUGUGUCUGAUUAUAUUUGCUUCAUAAAAAACAAACAGUCACUCUGGUUUCCAAAGGAAGUCCGGUUUAGAGGGACCAUGGAAACAGACUGCCUCAUUACAGGUUCACAUUUGACUUAGAAAGCAGCGCCUCAUAUUUUAAAGCCAAAGCUUGAUGCAUGCUGGUGGAUUUGAGGAUGGAGGAACAAACUAAUGUAUUUCUCUUUCAUUAAAAAAAAACACUGGGAGCUCUGGUGAGAGCCAUUAAGGUUAGUGUUUUUGUUAAUGUUCAUUUUUAAUAAGUGUAGAGUCCUACUUUAACAAAAUGCCUUUGCUGGUAAAGAAGCACCUCCAUUAUAAUUCCAAUUACUAAACACAAAGGGAGUUUGGAGACCUGCAUAAUUUGUAGCCAUCAAGUUUUGAAAUGCUUGAAGGCUUUUCUCAUUUGUUCUUUGUCUGGGAAAUGAGUUUGAACACCAAAAUCCAAUAUCAUAUAAUUUCAGAGGAGUUUGAAAUGACUUGUGGACACUGGACACAUGUGCAGGUCUUUUCAACUACAAUGGAACACCCUGGAACCGAGAAUAAAUACAGAUUUACCAGAAAGAAU